ACGGCUCAGUAACACGUGGAUAACCUGCCCUUGGGUCCGGCAUAACCCCGGGAAACUGGGGAUAAUUCCGGAUACCGCAUAUUUGCUGGAAUGCUUUAUGCGUCAAAUGGAUUCGUCUGCCCAAGGAUGGGUCUGCGGCCUAUCAGGUAGUAGUGGGUGUAAUGUACCUACUAGCCGACAACGGGUACGGGUUGUGAGAGCAAGAGCCCGGAGAUGGAUUCUGAGACAUGAAUCCAGGCCCUACGGGGCGCAGCAGGCGCGAAAACUUUACAAUGCGGGAAACCGUGAUAAGGGGACACCGAGUGUCAGCAUCAUAUGCUGGCUGUCCAGGUGUGUAAAAUACACCUGUUAGCAAGGGCCGGGCAAGACCGGUGCCAGCCGCCGCGGUAACACCGGCGGCCCGAGUGGUGAUCGUGAUUAUUGGGUCUAAAGGGUCCGUAGCCGGUUUGGUCAGUCCUCCGGGAAAUCUGAUGGCUCAACCAUUAGGCUUUCGGGGGAUACUGCCAGGCUUGGAACCGGGAGAGGUAAGAGGUACUACAGGGGUAGGAGUGAAAUCUUGUAAUCCCUGUGGGACCACCUGUGGCGAAGGCGUCUUACCAGAACGGGUUCGACGGUGAGGGACGAAAGCUGGGGGCACGAACCGGAUUAGAUACCCGGGUAGUCCCAGCCGUAAACGAUGCUCGCUAGGUGUCAGGCAUGGCGCGACCGUGUCUGGUGCCGCAGGGAAGCCGUGAAGCGAGCCACCUGGGAAGUACGGCCGCAAGGCUGAAACUUAAAGGAAUUGGCGGGGGAGAA
RNAcentral lists this ribosomal RNA (795 nucleotides) under uncultured archaeon. RNAcentral's name for it is "bacterial SSU rRNA". It matches the Rfam family "Archaeal small subunit ribosomal RNA", at positions 85 to 878 of the family's 1478-position model. The record is from RNAcentral.